UAGGGAAUAUUAGUAAUGGGCGAAAGCCUGAACUAGCAACGCCGCGUGUGCGAAGAAGGCCUUCGGGUUGUAAAGCACUUUUUGAGAGGAUGAGGAAGGACGGUACUCUCAGAAUAAGUCUCGGCUAACUACGUGCCAGCAGCCGCGGUAACACGUAGGAGGCGAACGUUAUCCGGAUUUACUGGGCGUAAAGCGCGUGUAGGUGGUUUGGUAAGUAGGGCGUGAAAGCUCCUGGCUCAACUGGGAGAGGCCGUUCUAAACUGCCG
RNAcentral lists this ribosomal RNA (266 nucleotides) under uncultured bacterium. RNAcentral's name for it is "partial 16S ribosomal RNA". It matches the Rfam family "Bacterial small subunit ribosomal RNA", at positions 355 to 638 of the family's 1533-position model. The record is from RNAcentral.